This 253-nucleotide ribosomal RNA is filed under the name uncultured bacterium. RNAcentral describes it as "partial 16S ribosomal RNA". It matches the Rfam family "Bacterial small subunit ribosomal RNA", at positions 524 to 776 of the family's 1533-position model. The record is from RNAcentral.
UACGUAGGGGGCGAGCGUUGUCCGGAUUUAUUGGGCGUAAAGCGCGUGUAGGCGGCUUGGCAAGUCGGAUGUGAAAGCCCACGGCUCAACCGUGGAAGCGCAUCCGAAACUGCUUCGCUCGAGUCUCGGAGAGGAAGGUGGAAUGCUUGGUGUAGAGGUGAAAUUCGUAGAUAUCAAGCAGAACACCUGCGGCGAAGGCGGCCUUCUGGACGAUGACUGACGCUGAGACGCGAAAGCGUGGGGAGCAAACAGG